GUCCUUCUGCCAGGAAUCUGGAGAAAGUUGGAUUUAUACAGAGAAGAUUAGCAUGGCCCAUCCGCAAGGAUAACAUGCAAAUCUAUGUAGUUGUCACGACCACC
This is a small nuclear RNA of Lepisosteus oculatus (spotted gar), 104 nucleotides long. Lineage: Eukaryota; Metazoa; Chordata; Actinopteri; Semionotiformes; Lepisosteidae. The record is from Ensembl.